UGCAUCAGAAGUAGAAAUUGUGCCGCUACGCGCCUCCUUGGAGGUUACAAAAUGAAGUGCGGGACGCUGGCACACCCGCCUGAUGAA
The submitters of this non-coding RNA (87 nucleotides) gave its source as unclassified sequences. The record is from Rfam.